AUAUAGAUAAGCUAAAUUUAAGCUUUUAGGUUCAUACCCUAAAUAUAGAUAAACUCUUUUAUAUA
This 65-nucleotide transfer RNA is filed under the name Seladonia tumulorum. Its description in RNAcentral is "tRNA-Met". Lineage: Eukaryota; Metazoa; Arthropoda; Insecta; Hymenoptera; Halictidae. The record is from RNAcentral.